Molecule: long non-coding RNA, 566 nt
Organism: Homo sapiens (human)
Lineage: Eukaryota; Metazoa; Chordata; Mammalia; Primates; Hominidae
Source: Ensembl
GGCGCUCCAGGAAGGUGUUGAGCAGACGCUGGUCAAACUCGUUGUCCACGCGCCCGCCAUAAAUGGACUGGGCCAUUAAGGUCUUUAGUGCAGACCACGGGAUCUUAUCCGAACCACCGCAAAGCUUUAUCCUUCUGAUACAAAAUGAAGUCUUACAAAGUUGAAAACUAAAGGCAGCCCCCAAAAAGGAAUUCACUCUUGAAUGCAGUGUUUCAAGAAUUCAAAGGCCAACACCAACCUGGACCAGAAGGGGGUUACCGAAUCUCAGUGCACUCUCUAAGUUCUUUCUGAAGGCGUCAUCCAGGAAGCUGGUCCGUGUGAUCUUACGAUCCUUAUAUUCAUUCAUAAUGAAUUCUGUGGCCUGUCCAGAGGGGUCAAUGAUCAGCGGAUACCUGAGGAUGAGGCCACAGAAGAGAAGGUUGAAACACCGAAUGGGGAAAGCACAGGAUCACGGUUAGCCGAGUCCCUGAUGAGAGACCCUGAUUGAUAGGCUGUUACCACCACCCGAGAGUGGUUUCCGGAGACGUUUUCAGGUUUACCAAUAAAGCUUACAUGCUUAAUGCUAA